CCGGGUAUGGUGUAACGGCAACAUUCCUGACUCUCAACAUCUUGUUCUUCAAGAUUGAGCGCUCAGGGGCCCGGGGCUCGAUUCUCCGUAUCCGAG
Molecule: non-coding RNA, 96 nt
Organism: Lasiosphaeris hirsuta
Lineage: Eukaryota; Fungi; Ascomycota; Sordariomycetes; Sordariales; Lasiosphaeriaceae
Source: the annotation of a GenBank genome assembly